This 98-nucleotide signal recognition particle RNA is filed under the name Bdellovibrionales bacterium. RNAcentral's name for it is "signal recognition particle sRNA small type". It matches the Rfam family "Bacterial small signal recognition particle RNA". Rfam says of the family: The signal recognition particle (SRP) is a universally conserved ribonucleoprotein involved in the co-translational targeting of proteins to membranes. Archaeal SRP consists of a 7S RNA and homologues of the eukaryotic SRP19 and SRP54 proteins. In most bacteria, the SRP consists of a 4.5S RNA and the Ffh protein (a homologue of the eukaryotic SRP54 protein). Lineage: Bacteria; Pseudomonadati; Bdellovibrionota; Bdellovibrionia; Bdellovibrionales. The record is from RNAcentral.
GGCUGAGUCCCGUACAAUAGCGGCCUUGUGAACCCCGCCAGGUCCGGAAGGAAGCAACGGUAGCAGGAACCCUAUGUGCUACGGGGUGCUCGGCCACU